CAUGUAGGCGGAUAUGCAAGCUUGGUGUGAAAGGCAGGGGCUUAACUCCUGGACUGCGUUGAGAACUGCAUAACUAGAGUAACUGAGGGGCAACCGGAAUUCCAGGUGUAGGGGGUGAAAUCUGUAGAUAUCUGGAAGAACACCAAUGGCGAAGGCAGGUUACCAGCAGAUUACUGACGCUGAGGUGCGAAGGUGCGGGGAGCAAACA
This 208-nucleotide ribosomal RNA is filed under the name uncultured Spirochaetaceae bacterium. RNAcentral describes it as "partial 16S ribosomal RNA". It matches the Rfam family "Bacterial small subunit ribosomal RNA", at positions 568 to 774 of the family's 1533-position model. The record is from RNAcentral. Lineage: Bacteria; Pseudomonadati; Spirochaetota; Spirochaetia; Spirochaetales; Spirochaetaceae.